This 443-nucleotide ribosomal RNA is filed under the name uncultured bacterium. RNAcentral's name for it is "SSU rRNA". It matches the Rfam family "Bacterial small subunit ribosomal RNA", at positions 26 to 518 of the family's 1533-position model. The record is from RNAcentral.
AGAGCGAACGCUGGCGGCAGGCCUAACACAUGCAAGUCGAGCGCCCCGCAAGGGGAGCGGCAGACGGGAGAGUAACACGUGGGAACGUACCCUUCAGUUCGGAACAACCCAGGGAAACUUGGGCUAAUACCGAAUACGUCCGUAAGGAGAAAGAUUUAUCGCUGAAGGAUCGGCCCGCGUCUGAUUAGCUAGUUGGUGAGGUAACGGCUCACCAAGGCUACGAUCAGUAGCUGGUCUGAGAGGAUGAUCAGCCUCACUGGGACUGAGACACGGCCCAGACUCCUACGGGAGGCAGCAGUGGGGAAUAUUGGACAAUGGGCGCAAGCCUGAUCCAGCCAUGCCGCGUGGGUGAUGAAGGCCCUAGGGUUGUAAAGCCCUUUCGGCGGGGAAGAUAAUGACGGUACCCGCAGAAGAGCCCCGGCUAACUUCGUGCCAGCAGCCGC